This 253-nucleotide ribosomal RNA is filed under the name uncultured bacterium. RNAcentral describes it as "partial 16S ribosomal RNA". It matches the Rfam family "Bacterial small subunit ribosomal RNA", at positions 524 to 776 of the family's 1533-position model. The record is from RNAcentral.
UACGCAGGGGGCUAGCGUUGCUCGGAAUCACUGGGCGUAAAGCGCACGUAGGCGGAUUGCUAAGUCAGGGGUGAAAUCCUGGAGCUCAACUCCAGAACUGCCUUUGAUACUGGCGAUCUCGAGUCCGGGAGAGGUGAGUGGAACUGCGAGUGUAGAGGUGAAAUUCGUAGAUAUUCGCAAGAACACCAGUGGCGAAGGCGGCUCACUGGCCCGGUACUGACGCUGAGGUGCGAAAGCGUGGGGAGCAAACAGG